RNAcentral lists this long non-coding RNA (373 nucleotides) under Homo sapiens (human). RNAcentral's name for it is "non-protein coding lnc-C19orf57-6:5". The stretch from base 143 to 220 matches the Rfam family "mir-27 microRNA precursor family". The record is from RNAcentral. Lineage: Eukaryota; Metazoa; Chordata; Mammalia; Primates; Hominidae.
GGCCGGCUGGGGUUCCUGGGGAUGGGAUUUGCUUCCUGUCACAAAUCACAUUGCCAGGGAUUUCCAACCGACCCUGAGCUCUGCCACCGAGGAUGCUGCCCGGGGACGGGGUGGCAGAGAGGCCCCGAAGCCUGUGCCUGGCCUGAGGAGCAGGGCUUAGCUGCUUGUGAGCAGGGUCCACACCAAGUCGUGUUCACAGUGGCUAAGUUCCGCCCCCCAGGCCCUCACCUCCUCUGGCCUUGCCGCCUGUCCCCUGCUGCCGCCUGUCUGCCUGCCAUCCUGCUGCCUGGCCUCCCUGGGCUCUGCCUCCCGUGCCUACUGAGCUGAAACACAGUUGGUUUGUGUACACUGGCUCAGUUCAGCAGGAACAGGG